Molecule: ribosomal RNA, 409 nt
Filed under: Klebsiella oxytoca
Lineage: Bacteria; Pseudomonadati; Pseudomonadota; Gammaproteobacteria; Enterobacterales; Enterobacteriaceae
Description: bacterial LSU rRNA
Rfam family: Bacterial large subunit ribosomal RNA
Source: RNAcentral
AGGAUGUGGGAUUUCGAAGACAGCUAGGAUGUUGGCUCAGAAGCAGCCAUACAUUCAAAGAGUGCGUAAUAGCUCACUAGUCGAGAGGUCCUGCGCCGAAAAUGUCCGGGGCUGAAACACAGCACCGAAGCUUAGGAAGACAGGCAACUGUCUUGGUAGAGGAGCAUUUCAUACGGAAAGAAGCUGUACCGAUAAGGAGCAGUGGACUGUAUGGAAGAGAGAAUGCCGGAAUGAGUAGCGAGAAAGAGGUGAGAAUCCUCUUGGCCGAAUAUCCAAGGAUUCCAGGGUAAAGCUGAUCUGCCCUGGGUAAGUCGGGACCUAAGGCGAGGCCGGAAGGCGUAGCCGAUGGACAACAGGUGGAGAUUCCUGUACUGCGAUAUGACAGAACUGUGGGGACGCAUGUGGAAAG